UGGGGAAUUUUGGACAAUGGGCGAAAGCCUGAUCCAGCAAUGCCGCGUGUGUGAAGAAGGCCUUCGGGUUGUAAAGCACUUUUGUCCGGAAAGAAAUCCUUGGCUCUAAUACAGUCGGGGGAUGACGGUACCGGAAGAAUAAGCACCGGCUAACUACGUGCCAGCAGCCGCGGUAAUACGUAGGGUGCAAGCGUUAAUCGGAAUUACUGGGCGUAAAGCGUGCGCAGGCGGUUUGCUAAGACCGAUGUGAAAUCCCCGGGCUCAACCUGGGAACUGCAUUGGUGACUGGCAGGCUAGAGUAUGGCAGAGGGGGGUAGAAUUCCACGUGUAGCAGUGAAAUGCGUAGAGAUGUGGAGGAAUACCGAUGGCGAAGGCAGCCCCCUGGGCCAAUACUGACGCUCAUGCACGAAAGCGUGGGGAGCAAACAGGAUUAGAUACCCUGGUAGUCCACGCCCUAAACGAUGUCAACUAGUUGUUGGGGAUUCAUUUCCUUAGUAACGUAGCUAACGCGUGAAGUUGACCGCCUGGGGAGUACGGUCGCAAGAUUAAAACUUAAAUGAAUUGACGGGGUCAUAGCUGUUU
This 582-nucleotide ribosomal RNA is filed under the name uncultured bacterium. Its description in RNAcentral is "partial 16S ribosomal RNA". It matches the Rfam family "Bacterial small subunit ribosomal RNA", at positions 355 to 935 of the family's 1533-position model. The record is from RNAcentral.